CGUUGAGCAGGAUACUUGACACCACUUCUAAUCUUUGCCUGCUUGAAAUACCAAGCAGAAGUAGGUGAACAGAGGGUCCAGUCAGAGUCCAGGGUCUUCAGACGCCUGACUCACUGCUCAGGAAUUCAUCUGCCGGUACUACCGUGCUGUGUCCUGCAUUAUUUCUAUCCCUGGAUGUUAUGUAUCUUUGGUUUAGGGAAGAGAGAAGACAGAAAACCAUGAGCAGUCGACUCCUCCCCUCUGAAGAUCUAUACUAAUUGAUAACAUGUGUAUAAGGAGGUAACUUGAUACUAAGCUAGUGUACGACCCAAACACAGGCCACCUGCUGCGGUUUUGGAGAGAGCUGAGUCUAUCUCCCACCACAGCGGAGGCCUUUCUGAUUCAGACGGUUCAAAUGAGGACACACUGGCCAGAGUCCAUAAGUCAAUCAAUCAGCUUGCUCACUUCAAAGCUGAAAAGGUUUGGCCAGAGUGGGGAUGUUGCCUUUGCUGCAGCAGAAUGGAGAGUCCACUUCCAAGUGGCAAUACAUUAAUUUUAGAGGGGAAAAAGACUUUUGAC
Molecule: long non-coding RNA, 558 nt
Organism: Micropterus dolomieu (smallmouth bass)
Lineage: Eukaryota; Metazoa; Chordata; Actinopteri; Centrarchiformes; Centrarchidae
Exons: 3
Source: RefSeq, a predicted model, not a curated record